ACGGUGAACACGGAGCUUGCUCUGUGGGAUCAGUGGCGAACGGGUGAGUAACACGUGAGCAACCUGCCCCUGACUCUGGGAUAAGCGCUGGAAACGGCGUCUAAUACUGGAUAUGUGACGUGAUCGCAUGGUCUGCGUCUGGAAAGAAUUUCGGUUGGGGAUGGGCUCGCGGCCUAUCAGCUUGUUGGUGAGGUAAUGGCUCACCAAGGCGUCGACGGGUAGCCGGCCUGAGAGGGUGACCGGCCACACUGGGACUGAGACACGGCCCAGACUCCUACGGGAGGCAGCAGUGGGGAAUAUUGCACAAUGGGCGCAAGCCUGAUGCAGCAACGCCGCGUGAGGGAUGACGGCCUUCGGGUUGUAAACCUCUUUUAGCAGGGAAGAAGCGAAAGUGACGGUACCUGCAGAAAA
This 411-nucleotide ribosomal RNA is filed under the name Microbacterium maritypicum. Its description in RNAcentral is "bacterial SSU rRNA". It matches the Rfam family "Bacterial small subunit ribosomal RNA", at positions 66 to 488 of the family's 1533-position model. Lineage: Bacteria; Bacillati; Actinomycetota; Actinomycetes; Micrococcales; Microbacteriaceae. The record is from RNAcentral.